Molecule: ribosomal RNA, 1168 nt
Filed under: uncultured Bacteroides sp.
Lineage: Bacteria; Pseudomonadati; Bacteroidota; Bacteroidia; Bacteroidales; Bacteroidaceae
Description: bacterial SSU rRNA
Rfam family: Bacterial small subunit ribosomal RNA
Source: RNAcentral
AGUUUGAUCCUGGCUCAGGAUGAACGCUAGCUACAGGCUUAACACAUGCAAGUCGAGGGGCAGCAUUGGAGUAGCAAUACUUCAGAUGGCGACCGGCGCACGGGUGAGUAACACGUAUCCAACCUGCCGCUUACUCGGGGAUAGCCUUUCGAAAGAAAGAUUAAUACCCGAUGGUAUAAAGAGUUCGCAUGUUCUCUUUAUUAAAGAAUUUCGGUAAGCGAUGGGGAUGCGUUCCAUUAGAUAGUUGGCGGGGUAACGGCCCACCAAGUCUACGAUGGAUAGGGGUUCUGAGAGGAAGGUCCCCCACAUUGGAACUGAGACACGGUCCAAACUCCUACGGGAGGCAGCAGUGAGGAAUAUUGGUCAAUGGACGAGAGUCUGAACCAGCCAAGUAGCGUGAAGGAUGACUGCCCUAUGGGUUGUAAACUUCUUUUAUAAGGGAAUAAAGUGAGGGACGUGUCCCUUUUUGUAUGUACCUUAUGAAUAAGGAUCGGCUAACUCCGUGCCAGCAGCCGCGGUAAUACGGAGGAUCCGAGCGUUAUCCGGAUUUAUUGGGUUUAAAGGGAGCGUAGGUUGACGUAUAAGUCAGCUGUGAAAGUUUACGGCUCAACCGUGAAAUUGCAGUUGAUACUGUAUGUCUUGAGUGUACAAGAGGUGGGCGGAAUUCGUGGUGUAGCGGUGAAAUGCUUAGAUAUCACGAAGAACUCCAAUUGCGAAGGCAGCUCACUGGGGUACAACUGACACUGAGGCUCGAAAGUGUGGGUAUCAAACAGGAUUAGAUACCCUGGUAGUCCACACAGUAAACGAUGAAUACUCGCUGUUUGCGAUAUACAGUAAGCGGCCAAGCGAAAGCAUUAAGUAUUCCACCUGGGGAGUACGCCGGCAACGGUGAAACUCAAAGGAAUUGACGGGGGCCCGCACAAGCGGAGGAACAUGUGGUUUAAUUCGAUGAUACGCGAGGAACCUUACCCGGGCUUGAAUUGCAGAGGAACAUAGUUGAAAGAUUAUGGCCGCAAGGUCUCUGUGAAGGUGCUGCAUGGUUGUCGUCAGCUCGUGCCGUGAGGUGUCGGCUUAAGUGCCAUAACGAGCGCAACCCUUAUCAUUAGUUACUAACAGGUCAUGCUGAGGACUCUAGUGAGACUGCCGUCGUAAGAUGUGAGGAAGGUGG